RNAcentral lists this ribosomal RNA (253 nucleotides) under uncultured bacterium. RNAcentral describes it as "partial 16S ribosomal RNA". It matches the Rfam family "Bacterial small subunit ribosomal RNA", at positions 524 to 776 of the family's 1533-position model. The record is from RNAcentral.
UACGUAGGGCGCGAGCGUUGUCCGGAAUUAUUGGGCGUAAAGAGCUCGUAGGCGGUCUGUCGCGUCGAUCGUGAAAACUUGGGGCUCAACCCCAAGCUUGCGGUCGAUACGGGCAGGCUAGAGUUCGGUAGGGGAGACUGGAAUUCCUGGUGUAGCGGUGAAAUGCGCAGAUAUCAGGAGGAACACCGGUGGCGAAGGCGGGUCUCUGGGCCGAUACUGACGCUGAGGAGCGAAAGCGUGGGGAGCGAACAGG